Molecule: transfer RNA, 74 nt
Filed under: Geothermobacter hydrogeniphilus
Lineage: Bacteria; Pseudomonadati; Thermodesulfobacteriota; Desulfuromonadia; Desulfuromonadales; Geothermobacteraceae
Description: Geothermobacter sp. EPR-M tRNA
Rfam family: tRNA
About the family: Transfer RNA (tRNA) molecules are approximately 80 nucleotides in length. Their secondary structure includes four short double-helical elements and three loops (D, anti-codon, and T loops). Further hydrogen bonds mediate the characteristic L-shaped molecular structure. tRNAs have two regions of fundamental functional importance: the anti-codon, which is responsible for specific mRNA codon recognition, and the 3' end, to which the tRNAs corresponding amino acid is attached (by aminoacyl-tRNA synthetases). tRNAs cope with the degeneracy of the genetic code in two manners: having more than one tRNA (with a specific anti-codon) for a particular amino acid; and 'wobble' base-pairing, i.e. permitting non-standard base-pairing at the 3rd anti-codon position.
Source: Rfam by way of RNAcentral
CGCGGGGUGGAGCAGUUUGGUAGCUCGUCGGGCUCAUAACCCGAAGGUCGGGGGUUCAAAUCCCUCCCCCGCAA